CCCCUUCUUUGGGAUAACUGUCGGAAACGGUGGCUARUACUGGAUAUUCAGGUCGCACCGCAUGGUGUGGUUUGGAAAGGUUUUUUCUGGUGGGGGAUGGGCUCGCGGCCUAUCAGCUUGKUGGUGGGGUGAUGGCCUACCAAGGCUUUGACGGGUAACCGGCCUGAGAGGGUGACCGGUCACACUGGGACUGAGAUACGGCCCAGACUCCUACGGGAGGCAGCAGUGGGGAAUAUUGCACAAUGGGCGAAAGCCUGAUGCAGCGACGCCGCGUGAGGGAUGGAGGCCUUCGGGUUGUAAACCUCUUUCAGUAAGGGUGAAGGCUCUCUUUUGUGGGGGGUUGACAGUACUUGCAGAAGAAGCGCCGGCUAACUACGUGCCAGCAGCCGCGGUAAUACGUAGGGCGCGAGCGUUGUCCGGAAUUAUUGGGCGUAAAGGGCUUGUAGGUGGCGUGUCGCGUCUGCUGUGAAAUUCCAGGGCUUAACUUUGGGAUUGCAGUGGGUACGGGCAUGCUAGAGUGCAGUAGGGGAGAUUGGAAUUCCUGGUGUAGCGGUGAAAUGCGCAGAUAUCAGGAGGAACACCGGUGGCGAAGGCGGGUCUCUGGGCUGUUACUGACGCUGAGGAGCGAAAGCGUGGGGAGCGAACAGGAUUAGAUACCCUGGUAGUCCAUGCUGUAAACGUUGGGCACUAGGUGUGGGGUCUGUUUCCACGGAUUCUGCGCCGUAGCUAACGCAUUAAGUGCCCCGCCUGGGGAGUACGGCCGCAAGGCUAAAACUCAAAGAAAUUGACGGGGGCCCGCACAAGCGGCGGAGCAUGCGGAUUAAUUCGAUGCAACGCGAAGAACCUUACCAAGGCUUGACAUACACUGCGACAUGCCAGAGAUGGUGUGGCCUUYGGGGUGGUGUACAGGUGGUGCAUGGUUGUCGUCAGCUCGUGUCGUGAGAUGUUGGGUUAAGUCCCGCAACGAGCGCAACCCUUGUCUCAUGUUGCCAGCACUUCGGGUGGGGACUCGUGAGAGACUGCCGGGGUUAACUCGGAGGAAGGUGGGGAUGACGUCAAAUCAUCAUGCCCCUUAUGUCUUGGGCUUCAC
Molecule: ribosomal RNA, 1090 nt
Filed under: Pauljensenia hongkongensis
Lineage: Bacteria; Bacillati; Actinomycetota; Actinomycetes; Actinomycetales; Actinomycetaceae
Description: bacterial SSU rRNA
Rfam family: Bacterial small subunit ribosomal RNA
Source: RNAcentral